RNAcentral lists this ribosomal RNA (913 nucleotides) under Dissoderma galerinicola. RNAcentral's name for it is "partial large subunit ribosomal RNA". It matches the Rfam family "Eukaryotic large subunit ribosomal RNA", at positions 71 to 966 of the family's 3401-position model. Lineage: Eukaryota; Fungi; Basidiomycota; Agaricomycetes; Agaricales. The record is from RNAcentral.
AGGAUUCCCCUAGUAACUGCGAGUGAAGCGGGAAAAGCUCAAAUUUAAAAUCUGGCAGUCUUCGGCUGUCCGAGUUGUAAUCUAGAGAAGUGUUAUCCGCGCUGGACCGUGUACAAGUCUCCUGGAAUGGAGCGUCAUAGAGGGUGAGAAUCCCGUCUUUGACACGGACUGCCAGGGCUUUGCGAUGCGCUCUCAAAGAGUCGAGUUGUUUGGGAAUGCAGCUCAAAAUGGGUGGUAAAUUCCAUCUAAAGCUAAAUAUUGGCGAGAGACCGAUAGCGAACAAGUACCGUGAGGGAAAGAUGAAAAGAACUUUGGAAAGAGAGUUAAACAGUACGUGAAAUUGCUGAAAGGGAAACGCUUGAAGUCAGUCGCGUUGGCCAGGACUCAAUCUAGCCAUUGGUUGGAUGUAUUUUCUGGUCGACGGGUCAGCAUCAAUUUUGACCAUUGGAUAAAGGUAUGGGUAAUGUGACAUUUCUUCGGAGAUGUGUUAUAGACUCAUGCUGCAUACAAUGGUUGGGAUUGAGGAAUUCAGCACGCCGCAAGGCCGGGAUUUAUCCACGUUCGUGCUUAGGAUGCUGGCAUAAUGGCUUUAAUCGACCCGUCUUGAAACACGGACCAAGGAGUCUAACAUGCCUGCGAGUAUUUGGGUGGAAAACCCAUGUGCGCAAUGAAAGUGAAAGUUGAGAUCCUUGUCAUGGGGAGCAUCGACGCCCGGACUUGACGUUUUCUGACGGUUCCGCGGUAGAGCAUGUAUGUUGGGACCCGAAAGAUGGUGAACUAUGCCUGAAUAGGGUGAAGCCAGAGGAAACUCUGGUGGAGGCUCGUAGCGAUUCUGACGUGCAAAUCGAUCGUCAAAUUUGGGUAUAGGGGCGAAAGACUAAUCGAACCAUCUAGUAGCUGGUUCCUGCCAAUU